Molecule: long non-coding RNA, 566 nt
Organism: Phyllopteryx taeniolatus (common seadragon)
Lineage: Eukaryota; Metazoa; Chordata; Actinopteri; Syngnathiformes; Syngnathidae
Exons: 3
Source: RefSeq, a predicted model, not a curated record
GCGCAUCGAAUGCAUUUACAACUGUCAUUGAAAGCAGCACAUUGCCCAGCCACCACGGUGAACCAACAGGGCUUUCAGCCAAUUAAAGGUAAGUAGGUACAUUUAACAUCCAAUCGCUGGAUAACAUUGAGGGCUCAUAUCACUGCUCUCUAUGACUUGAGGGACCUCCCGUUGCGCUAGUACACCUGAGCCACCGUACUAGUUUAAAUGUCCCUUUGAUCUUUCAUUGCAGGUAGCUCGAGCUUUGAAGUUAAUGUAUUCUUUUCUAUCUUAAUCUAAGUUUAAAUGUCUUUAAUACCUUUAAAACCUAACCCUUUAUUUACCCAGAGCUUUAAAGUAGCAGUGCACAAGAAGCUAAUCUCUCAGCCUGGCAGUCCGGCUAAUGAUUUUUGUGGUGAUGGUGGUAAGAGAAGAAGAGGCAUAGCUAACGGAGGGACUCAUGUUUUAAGCAGAAAACAUGGCCACGGGAUCCAAAUACUUUUUUCCAGCCAUGCUGAUCAUGCCAGUUAGAUUGUGUGAUCCACGUUUUGUAUGUUCUCUUGAUGUGAUCUGUGAAGACUAUAAAG